UUCAGGAUCCUAGUGCGGCGAGUGAGCGGCAAGAGCUCAGAUUUGAAAUCUCACCUAGUGUGCGAGUUGUAAAUUGCAGGUUGGAGUCUCGGGUUAGACGUGUGUGCAAGUCCCUUGGAACAGGGCGCCACUGAGGGUGAGAGCCCCGUAGCGUGCAUGUCGACACCUGUGAGGCCCUUCUGACGAGUCGAGUUGUUUGGGAAUGCAGCUCUAAGUGGGUGGUAAAUUCCAUCUAAGGCUAAAUAUUGGCGAGAGACCGAUAGCGAACAAGUACUGUGAAGGAAAGAUGAAAAGCACUUUGAAAAGAGAGUGAAACAGCACGUGAAAUUGUUGAAAGGGAAGGGUAUUGGGCUCGACAUGGGAUUUACGCAUCGUUGCCUCUCGUGGGCGGCGCUCUGGGUUUUUCCUGGGCCAGCAUCGGUUUUUGUUGCAGGAUAAGGACAAUUGGAAUGUGGCUCCUCGGAGUGUUAUAGCCUUUUGUAGAUGCUGCGUAUGGGGACCGAGGGCUGCGGCGGACUUGUUUCGUCUCGGAUGCUGGCACAACGGCGCAAUACCGCCCGUCUGAAAACCGGGGGCCA
This 578-nucleotide ribosomal RNA is filed under the name Pichia kluyveri. RNAcentral's name for it is "eukaryotic LSU rRNA". It matches the Rfam family "Eukaryotic large subunit ribosomal RNA", at positions 68 to 664 of the family's 3401-position model. Lineage: Eukaryota; Fungi; Ascomycota; Pichiomycetes; Pichiales; Pichiaceae. The record is from RNAcentral.